UGGGGAAUCUUGGACAAUGGGGGCAACCCUGAUCCAGCCAUGCCGCGUGAGUGAUGAAGGCCUUAGGGUCGUAAAGCUCUUUCGCCUGUGAAGAUAAUGACGGUAGCAGGUAAAGAAACCCCGGCUAACUCCGUGCCAGCAGCCGCGGUAAUACGGAGGGGGUUAGCGUUGUUCGGAAUUACUGGGCGUAAAGCGCACGUAGGCGGACCAGAAAGUUGGGGGUGAAAUCCCGGGGGCUCAACCCCGGAACUGCCUCCAAAACUAUUGGUCUAGAGUUCGAGAGAGGUGAGUGGAAUUCCAAGUGUAGAGGUGAAAUUCGUAGAUAUUUGGAGGAACACCAGUGGCGAAGGCGGCUCACUGGCUCGAUACUGACGCUGAGGUGCGAAAGUGUGGGGAGCAAACAGGAUUAGAUACCCUGGUAGUCCACACCGUAAAACGAUGGAAUGCCAGUCGUCGGGUAGCAUGCUAUUCGUGACACACCUAACGGAUUAAGCAUUCCGCCUGGGGAGUACGGUCGCAAGAUUAAAACUCAAAGGAA
RNAcentral lists this ribosomal RNA (538 nucleotides) under uncultured bacterium. Its description in RNAcentral is "bacterial SSU rRNA". It matches the Rfam family "Bacterial small subunit ribosomal RNA", at positions 355 to 909 of the family's 1533-position model. The record is from RNAcentral.